CUUUAUUUCGAUCCACAUUGCACUAAAAUUGCAUUGCAAUUUGAGGCAAAUGAGGUCUCGAGUCGUUAUCGUCGAAGAAGAGGCUGAAGUACUAGAAGCUCACAUUGUCACAUCCUUGACUAAAUAUACGGAUCACUUGAUACUGAUCGGCGACCACCAGCAAUUGAAACCAAGCACAGCAGUAUAUGACCUAUCCA
Bradysia coprophila is the source of this 197-nucleotide long non-coding RNA. NCBI's taxonomy places the organism in Eukaryota, Metazoa, Arthropoda, Insecta, Diptera, Sciaridae. The record is from RefSeq and is a predicted model, not a curated record.